AGGAUAAACGCUGGCGGCGUGCCUAACACAUGCAAGUCGAACGUCUCUUCUUUCGGGAAGAGGAGUGGCGGACGGGUGAGGAACACGUGGGAACCUGCCCUUCAGUGAGGGAUACCGGCGAGAAAUUGCCGACAAGACCGCAUACGCUUCUCUUUUCAAGGGGAGAAGGAAAGCUUUUCGCAAGAGAGGCGCUGGGAGAUGGGCCUGCGGCCGAUUAGCUAGCUGGUGGGGUAAUGGCCUACCAGGGCGACGAUCGGUAGCUGGUCUGAGAGGACGAUCAGCCACACUGGGAUUGAGAACGGCCCAGACUCCUACGGGGGGCAGCAGUGAGGAAUUUUCGGCAAUGGGGGCAACCCUGACCGAGCAACGCCGCGUGCAGGACGACGGCCUUCGGGUUGUAAACUGCUUUUCUCUGGGACGAGCAAGGACGGUACCAGAGGAAGAAGCCCGGCUAACUACGUGCCAGCAGCCGC
This 473-nucleotide ribosomal RNA is filed under the name uncultured bacterium. Its description in RNAcentral is "SSU rRNA". It matches the Rfam family "Bacterial small subunit ribosomal RNA", at positions 26 to 518 of the family's 1533-position model. The record is from RNAcentral.